UUUAUGUGGAAAAACUCCUCAAAAGAGGAUAAAAAAUCACAGGUAAAAGGAAAUUUCACUAAUAUAAAAGAAGUACAAAGAUGGAGACAAUAAAAAAGAAAGAAAAACUCAAAACCCCGAAAGAAAAACCCUUCAAACUCGAAAAACAAAAAAUUCUUCCAAUUUGUAUAUUUUAUGUUGUUCUAUAAACCUAGGGUAACUAUAACCUAUUUAUAAGUUGAAAUUCAUAUUCUUUAUGACUAGAAUAUCCGUAGGUUAAUCAGAGUUUAAGCGGAAAACUAAAAUAGAGCUUAACUAAGAGAAGAAAACUGAGAAACUUAAGGAACAUGUUGUCACAUUGUGACGUGGCUUUUGCAUCGUUGGGACGAAGAACGAUCAUGUCGUCGGGACGAAGAUUCUCUUCUCAUCAUGACAUUAGCUGCUCGUCGCAACGUCGAGCUUUAUCUCAUCGGGAUGUCACUCACUGUUGUGGUCAAAAUGUGAGGCAAACUUUCGCAAAGGGUAAAUUAUAAAAAUUAAAAAUUUUAUCACAUGCGUAUGUGUGAGAACUACAUAUUUAGAAUAUAGAAGUUUGUUUAAAAAUAAUAUAUAAUAAAUAAUGAAAUAUAUGUUUGAAACUAAUUAAUAGUAAUAACACAUGUAGAAAAAUUAGAUUAAAUUGUGAGUAAAAUCAAAUUUAAACACGUACAUACAUUAGAUUAAGAAUAUUAAAUGCAUUACAAUUGUUUAUCAUGGUGUUGUCAUCAAUCUUAAGUUGAUGUCGAGUUAACUUGUGAUACCGACUCAACCAAUAGCAUUGUCAAUAUAUACAAUUGAUGAAGGUAAUAAAAUAUGCAUAAUAAAAUUAAAAUGUACAAUACAUUUCAAGAUAAAAGCAUUGGCUAACUGGUAAAAUCAAAAUUUUAUCAACGCAAAUGUCAUGGAUUAAAAUCCUACCAUAUGCAAAUUAUUAAUUGUAUUUUUAAUAAAAGACUAAAGUUCCUUUAUUUUAAUUAUGGAAAGAUAUUUUUCUAAUUUUCCUAAUCAAGUUGGUCUCUGGUUGACUCAUGAUACUAACUCAAUCAAAGGUUUAAAUAAUAAUAUAGAUUUACAACUGAUGGAGAUAAUAAACUGUGCUAUUAAAAUGAAAAUAUAUAAUAUGAAGUUUUGGUUGAGUGAUAAAUAUAUCUAAUUGGUGAGGGUUUAAAUCCUAUUUUUAGUUAUUUUUAUUAAAAUAAAAAGACUAAAAUACCCUCAAAUAAUAUAAUGUAUUUUAAUUAUAAAAGGAUAUUUUCAUAAUUUUCUUAAUCGAGUUGGUGAUGAUUGACUCGUGACACUAACUCAGUUGGAGUUUAAAUAUUAGUAUAGAUAAUCACUCAAGUAUUAGUUGUCUCUACUUUCAUCACUCAAGUUUAAAAUUUUUUUAUUUUAGUCAUUAAUAUUAUUGAAAUUUAAUAUUUUGCCCACUCCUCCGUUAAGUCACUAACGAAAGCUUUUCUAAUUGGCAUAAUAACAAAAUUAACCCUCCAAUAUUUAUAGAUUCUAUCAAUUUGAUCCCAAUUCUAAAAAAAUUAACAAAUUUAGCCCUCAACUUUACAUAUUUUGUUAAUUUAUUCUUAAUUAUUAAAAAUUAAAAGUUAAAAACCUUUAAAAUUAAAAAAAUAAAAGUAAAAAUUUUAAAAUUUAUUUUUUCAUAAAAAUAAAUACAAAAUUAUAAAAAUAUUUAUAAACAAAUGAGAAUUGGAACGUACGAUUAAAUUCAUUGAGAAUUGGAAGAUUUUGCCCUGAUGCUUUUCGUACGAAUAAGUGUUUAGAAGAUUAUGCUGGCAUCCCGACAAGGCAAAUGCACGACAUCUCAAGAGCAUAAAGGGCCUAUCUCAGGCGCCAAGAACAAAUUUCCGAUUUCCCAUGAGCGAUUAUGAAAGCAAAAGGAAUAUCGGUUUGUAACUUUUUUUAGAAUAUUUCUUUCUUGCAUUGCGGAGGCCUAUACAUCCAUCUUACUUACU
Molecule: long non-coding RNA, 1985 nt
Filed under: Gossypium barbadense (sea-island cotton)
Lineage: Eukaryota; Viridiplantae; Streptophyta; Magnoliopsida; Malvales; Malvaceae
Description: long non-coding RNA (GBAR_LNC016506)
Source: RNAcentral